AGAAACCUCCUCGCUUUGGAGGACAUGAUGCUAAUUCUCAAGACUUGAUGUCAGAAUCAGAGGAAGUAAAAUAGGAAAAGCAGCCAGCCCAGCACCUAGACCACGAUCCUAAUUGCAUAUUCCAGGAUGAUCCGUCCACCACUGGAAACUUCAGGGCCUGUUACUGAACAUUCCAGUUCUCAGCUCCUGUGAGUAGCAUCCAUUACCC
Tupaia belangeri chinensis (Chinese tree shrew) is the source of this 208-nucleotide long non-coding RNA. RefSeq lists it as uncharacterized. The record is from RefSeq and is a predicted model, not a curated record. NCBI's taxonomy places the organism in Eukaryota, Metazoa, Chordata, Mammalia, Scandentia, Tupaiidae. The transcript is spliced from 3 exons.